AAUCAACGCUGGCGGCGCGCCUAACACAUGCAAGUCGAACGAGAAAGGGGAGCAAUCCCUGAGUACAGUGGCGUACGGGUGAGUAACACGUGGAUGAUCUACCCUCUAGUGGGGAAUAACUAUGGGAAACCGUAGCUAAUACCGCAUAAGCUCGAGAGAGGAAAGCAGCAAUGCGCUGGAGGAGGAGUCCGCGGCCGAUUAGCUAGUUGGCAGGGUAAAAGCCUACCAAGGCAGAGAUCGGUAGCCGGCCUGAGAGGGCACACGGCCACACUGGCAC
This 277-nucleotide ribosomal RNA is filed under the name uncultured bacterium. RNAcentral's name for it is "partial 16S ribosomal RNA". It matches the Rfam family "Bacterial small subunit ribosomal RNA", at positions 32 to 319 of the family's 1533-position model. The record is from RNAcentral.